RNAcentral lists this ribosomal RNA (113 nucleotides) under Prolemur simus (greater bamboo lemur). Lineage: Eukaryota; Metazoa; Chordata; Mammalia; Primates; Lemuridae. The record is from RNAcentral.
GUCUGUGGCUAUCCCACCCUGAACACGCCCAAUCUUGUCUGAUCUCAGAAGCUAAGCAGGGUCAGGCCUGGUUAGUACUUGGAUGGGAGGCAUUUGAGCUGUUUCUACUGUUU